GGCUGGUCCAAAUAUAGUGAGUUAUCUCAAUUGAUUGUUCACAUUCAGUUACAGAUUGAACUCCUUGUUCUACUUUCUCCCUCCAUCUCACUACUGCACUUGAAUAGUCUGGA
RNAcentral lists this Y RNA (113 nucleotides) under Carlito syrichta (Philippine tarsier). RNAcentral describes it as "Y RNA (ENSTSYG00000035454.1)". It matches the Rfam family "Y RNA". From Rfam's summary of the family: Y RNAs are components of the Ro ribonucleoprotein particle (Ro RNP), in association with Ro60 and La proteins. Lineage: Eukaryota; Metazoa; Chordata; Mammalia; Primates; Tarsiidae. The record is from Rfam by way of RNAcentral.